AUACGUAGGUACUGCAGUGUAACAAAUGGUUCCCCGUAGUGGUUACCGGUUACCACGGUCACGGAACGCGAGGACGGUGAUCGUAAUGAUACAUUAUUAUUAUUAUUAUUAUUAUCGUAUAUUGUUCCUUAUCAUAUUAUAGAUAAAACCGAAUACGGUACACGCACGACGGACGUAUCCGAAUUGGUUCCCGAGCUCAUACCAUAGCUCCACAGACCGAAUCGUUAAAAAACGGUACUUUAUGAUGGUGAGCCGAACUGGUUCCCGUUUAAUGCGUACAUUUAAACAAUAAACGCAAUA
Cinara cedri is the source of this 300-nucleotide non-coding RNA. Lineage: Eukaryota; Metazoa; Arthropoda; Insecta; Hemiptera; Aphididae. The record is from the annotation of a GenBank genome assembly.